This 635-nucleotide long non-coding RNA is filed under the name Zostera marina. RNAcentral's name for it is "long non-coding RNA (ZMAR_LNC002998)". Lineage: Eukaryota; Viridiplantae; Streptophyta; Magnoliopsida; Alismatales; Zosteraceae. The record is from RNAcentral.
GAAGCUCGAAGAAAUCGAGAACAUUAGGAACGACUGGUUCCUCUUUGAGCAAAAAGACGACGCAUCGCAUGAAUGUGGGGAACUUCUGCACGGACAAAGGAAAAGAUCCAAUGACCGAAGAAGAGGUUCAACAUAAGGUCAACGAGGCUGUCGAGAGAGCGAUGGCUCGUCAGAAUGAGCAGAAUGAGGCGAUGGCUCGUCAGAAUGAGCUGAAUCAUGAGGCGAUGGUUCGUCAGAAUGAAGACUUGGCUCGUAAGAAUGAAGAGUUGGCUCGUAAGAAUGAAGACUUCAUGACUCGUCAAAUGACGUUCUUCCAACAAUACAACUCCGCAAUGCUCGCUCAAAAUCCAAACAUGCGCUUACCGGAGUUUCUGACAAUGUUCAACAACAAUGCAGCGCAAAACAUGUAUACUCCUGGAGCGUCAUCUUCUAGAGCCGCCGCACCGACUACUCAACUACCAACAACGCAAGAAACACCGACUACGCCACAAGAAGAGCACACCGCUUCGCGCGCAGGUAGAUCGAUAAUAUUUACGAAAGAAGCGCUACGAAAGGUGGUCGGAACUAAGAAAAAGAAAAAGAGCGAAAAAAAGAAGUUAAAUUAGUGACUGUCGAAGUUAAUUUCUGUUAUACAU